AACGAACGCUGGCGGCGUGGAUAAGACAUGCAAGUCGAACGGAUUUUCCGCUGUAGCAAUACAGUGGGAGGUCAGUGGCGCAAGGGUGCGUAACACGUGGGCAACCUGCCCUGAAGUUGGGGAUAGCCCGCCGAAAGGCGGAUUAAUACCGAAUGUGGCUAGCUGCCGAGUGGUGGCGACGCUAAAGCUGGGGCAACCUGGCGCUUCUGGAUGGGGCCCGCGGCCUANCAGCUUGUUGGUGAGGUAACGGCUCACCAAGGCUAUGACGGGUAGCUGGUCUGAGAGGACGACCAGCCACACUGGAACUGAGACACGGCCCAAACUCCUACGGGAGGCAGCAGUGGGGAAUAUUGGACAAUGGGCGCAAGCCUGAUCCAGCCAUGCCGCGUGAGUGAUGAAGGCCCUAGGGUUGUAAAGCUCUUUUGUGCGGGAAGAUAAUGACGGUACCGC
RNAcentral lists this ribosomal RNA (450 nucleotides) under uncultured bacterium. RNAcentral's name for it is "bacterial SSU rRNA". It matches the Rfam family "Bacterial small subunit ribosomal RNA", at positions 29 to 481 of the family's 1533-position model. The record is from RNAcentral.